CCUUCGUCAAGGAAUAGCUAAUGUCCUUAGCCCUGCGUUGCGACAAAAACACAGCCAGAAAGAGAAGACUAAUGAAGACGCAAGUCCUUGUGCUUCGUGCCAUGUGUGCUUAACCCGCUGCGCUACCGCCUGGGCUUCUGAUUAAGUCUUUUGAACUAAGUCACGAUUCCUGGAGUCCUCCCUCCUUUCUGCAAGUAAGACGUCAACAACCACCCGCAGACAGGAGCUGAAAACUGCUGGGCCAGUGAGUGUCGACACCUGGUGGUAGCAAAAUAAUUAGGCCAGUCCAGUAGUUUUGCUGUGAAGAUCCCAUGUACAGAGACCAGCUCCUUUUUGUCAUGUUGUGAGUUGCUGGAAGAAAGAAGCAGAGAAAAGCGACAUAGUCUGGCCUUCGCUUAUGCAGGAGCACACUACGCCUCAGGAUAAAAGAAAUUGUGUGUGUGUGUGUGUGUGUGUGUGUGUGUCCUCCAAAUCUACUUUGGACGUGGGUCCCUGCUGUCUCUGACUGCCAGUGGGAGCUAUUCCUCUCUCUCUCUCUCUCUCUCCCUCCCUCCCUCCCUCCAGGAUUAACGCUGGGGUUUGGUGCCUGCACUACAAAUCCACUGCCAUUUUAUUGGACAGGACAGAGUGAAAUCGAGAGAGGAAGGGAAGACAGAGAGAGGGGGAGAAAGACAGACACCUGCAGACCUGCUUCACCGCUUGUGAAGCGAUGCCCCCCCCUGCAGGUGGGGAGCUAGAGGCUCAAACCCAGGUCCUUGUGUGGGUCUUUGCACUUAGUAUUGUAGGUGCUUAACUGGGUGCACCACUGCCUGGUCCAAGCUGCUCAGCUCUCAACCAGCUAUUUGUAGGGAGAUACUUCCUUUCAUAUUCAGUAGUUUUUGGGAGAGGAAUUCUUGUGCUCUGCUUGGCACAGCACUUAACUUCCCCGUAGUCUAUUCUCUCUGGACGCAGAUGUACUUAAGGUCUAGGGUCGCUGGGUAGAGGCGCCGUCAAGACCAAACUGAUUGCCGUUGUCACUUAGGUUUCGUGCUGACUCUGCUUCCCUCAUCAUUUAUAGGGCACCUACUUUUCCUCCCAGUGUCUUGGCCAGCCUGGCUCUAUACCCGAGCCCGAACUAUAAAUUGCAGUAAAACUGUUCCACAUAGCUCCUCACUUCACACAUCAAGCCAAGAAUGUGAUUAGGCCAGUGCUAUGCCUUCCACAUCAAUUCAAUGACAAAGGAGGUCUUUCUUUCUUUCUUUCUUUCUUUCUUUCUUUCUUUCUUU
Molecule: long non-coding RNA, 1265 nt
Organism: Erinaceus europaeus (western European hedgehog)
Lineage: Eukaryota; Metazoa; Chordata; Mammalia; Eulipotyphla; Erinaceidae
Exons: 3
Source: RefSeq, a predicted model, not a curated record